This 497-nucleotide ribosomal RNA is filed under the name uncultured bacterium. RNAcentral's name for it is "partial 16S ribosomal RNA". It matches the Rfam family "Bacterial small subunit ribosomal RNA", at positions 28 to 507 of the family's 1533-position model. The record is from RNAcentral.
GAUGAACGCUGGCGGCGUGCCUAAUACAUGCAAGUCGAGCGAACGGACGAGAAGCUUGCUUUUCUGAUGUUAGCGGCGGACGGGUGAGUAACACGUGGAUAACCUACCUAUAAGACUGGGAUAACUUCGGGAAACCGGAGCUAAUACCGGAUAAUAUUUUGAACCGCAUGGUUCAAAAGUGAAAGACGGUCUUGCUGUCACUUAUAGAUGGAUCCGCGCUGCAUUAGCUAGUUGGUAAGGUAACGGCUUACCAAGGCAACGAUGCAUAGCCGACCUGAGAGGGUGAUCGGCCAAACUGGAACUGAGACACGGGCCAGACUCCUACGGGAGGCAGCAGUAGGGAAUCUUCCGCAAUGGGCGAAAGCCUGACGGAGCAACGCCGCGUGAGGUAUGAAGGUCUUCGGAUCGUAAAACUCUGUUAUUAGGGAAGAACAUAUGUGUAAGUAACUGUGCACAUCUUGACGGUACCUAAUCAGAAAGCCACGGCUAACUACGUG